AAUGAAUCCGGUUGAUCCUGCCGGACCUGACUGCUAUCGGAUUGGUACUAAGCCAUGCGAGUCAUUGCAGCAAU
Molecule: ribosomal RNA, 74 nt
Filed under: Thaumarchaeota archaeon 13_1_40CM_3_38_6
Lineage: Archaea; Thermoproteati; Nitrososphaerota
Description: partial 16S ribosomal RNA
Source: RNAcentral